AUUGAACGCUGGCGGCAGGCCUAACACAUGCAAGUCGAGCGGAUGAAGGGAGCUUGCUCCUGGAUUCAGCGGCGGACGGGUGAGUAAUGCCUAGGAAUCUGCCUGGUAGUGGGGGAUAACGUCCGGAAACGGGCGCUAAUACCGCAUACGUCCUGCGGGAGAAAGUGGGGGAUCUUCGGACCUCACGCUAUCAGAUGAGCCUAGGUGGGAGUAGCUAGUUGGUGGGGUAAAGGCCUACCAAGGCGACGAUUCGUAACUGGUCUGAGAGGAUGAUCGGUCACACUGGAACUGAGACGCGGUCCAGACUACUACGGGAGGCAGCAGUGGGGAAUAUUGGACAAUGGGCGAAAGCCUGAUCCAGCCAUGCCGCGUGUGUGAAGAAGGUCUUCGGAUUGUAAAGCACUUUAAGUUGGGAGGAAGGGCAGUAAGUUAAUACCUUGCUGUUUUGACGUUACCAACAGAAUAAGCACCGGCUAACUUCGUG
This 484-nucleotide ribosomal RNA is filed under the name uncultured bacterium. RNAcentral describes it as "partial 16S ribosomal RNA". It matches the Rfam family "Bacterial small subunit ribosomal RNA", at positions 30 to 507 of the family's 1533-position model. The record is from RNAcentral.